Molecule: ribosomal RNA, 950 nt
Filed under: Escherichia coli
Lineage: Bacteria; Pseudomonadati; Pseudomonadota; Gammaproteobacteria; Enterobacterales; Enterobacteriaceae
Description: partial 23S ribosomal RNA
Rfam family: Bacterial large subunit ribosomal RNA
Source: RNAcentral
GGGUUGUGAGGUUAAGCGACUAAGCGUACACGGUGGAUGCCCUGGCAGUCAGAGGCGAUGAAGGACGUGCUAAUCUGCGAUAAGCGUCGGUGAGGUGAUAUGAACCGUUAUAACCGGCGAUUUCCGAAUGGGGAAACCCAGUGUGUUUCGACACACUAUCAUUAACUGAAUCCAUAGGUUAAUGAGGCGAACCGGGGGAACUGAAACAUCUAAGUACCCCGAGGAAAAGAAAUCAACCGAGAUUCCCCCAGUAGCGGCGAGCGAACGGGGAGGAGCCCAGAGCCUGAAUCAGUGUGUGUGUUAGUGGAAGCGUCUGGAAAGGCGUGCGAUACAGGGUGACAGCCCCGUACACAAAAAUGCACAUAUUGUGAGCUCGAUGAGUAGGGCGGGACACGUGGUAUCCUGUCUGAAUAUGGGGGGACCAUCCUCCAAGGCUAAAUACUCCUGACUGACCGAUAGUGAACCAGUACCGUGAGGGAAAGGCGAAAAGAACCCCGGCGAGGGGAGUGAAAAAGAACCUGAAACCGUGUACGUACAAGCAGUGGGAGCCUCUUAAUGGGGUGACUGCGUACCUUUUGUAUAAUGGGUCAGCGACUUAUAUUCUGUAGCAAGGUUAACCGAAUAGGGGAGCCGAAGGGAAACCGAGUCUUAACUGGGCGUUAAGUUGCAGGGUAUAGACCCGAAACCCGGUGAUCUAGCCAUGGGCAGGUUGAAGGUUGGGUAACACUAACUGGAGGACCGAACCGACUAAUGUUGAAAAAUUAGCGGAUGACUUGUGGCUGGGGGUGAAAGGCCAAUCAAACCGGGAGAUAGCUGGUUCUCCCCGAAAGCUAUUUAGGUAGCGCCUCGUGAAUUCAUCUCCGGGGGUAGAGCACUGUUUCGGCAAGGGGGUCAUCCCGACUUACCAACCCGAUGCAAACUGCGAAUACCGGAGAAUGUUAUCACGGGAG